UGCCGAUAGAAGGGGGUCAGACAGUGCAAUCUCCAGUCUUCUUCAGUACCCAGCGUCAUGGUCUGUCUGGUUCACUCACUGUCACUGCAGCAUCACGAGCCCUCCACCCACACCUCUUAUCUUUGCAACGGCCUUCACUAAUAUCCAGCAUGCACUCUUGUCAGCAUCUCAAUUUAUUUACCCGAGUAUUAUAAUGUUGUUAGCUUAAUUGAUUUCCCUACCAAAUAACUUUCAUUGCACCCACCAUUCUGUCCCCCCACACCACUUGCAUCUCUUAUGCAGCUCAUUUCCACUGUGCAUGUUAACAAUUGGUGUGCUACAUGCCACGUCAACAUCCCUGACGCGUACAAAUGACAAAUGCCGGGAGGAUAAUGCUGUCUUACACCCUUCUGAAUCUCUCUAAACAGUAUUCGUGCAUGAGUAACUACUACAAUAAUUAAUAUUGCCACAUCUCUGAUGCUCACUCUUCUGCUGGGAAGGAAAAAAACUAAGUUCUAUGUAUUCAUUUUAUUUUGGUACUUCUUCCAAAAUUAUCUUGCACUGAAAUAAAGAACCAGUUAUUGUAAAGCAUAAUUCACUGAAGUGGUUUGAGGAUACAAUGGGGAUGCAGAAUAAAGAUUUUGUGAGGAGGGGAUUACUUAACCCCUUGACUGUGGAUUUCCCACAAGAAGACCUCACCAAGCAACCAGUGAAGGCAAAAUCCAGGGCAAUCGCAGCGGACAGGUUAAAAUAUUAUGACAAAAUAUUUCAUGCAUGCACAAAACACACACACACACAAUAGGAGCCUUGAAAUCACAUGAGACUUCCUUUGCAGGCACGACAGGAUGGAGGGAGAUGACAACCAGCAUGAGAAGCAGAUGACGACCACCUUCCCCCUGCAGCACACUACCACAAGACAUCAGUGUGUGCGUGCUCCUGCUGCCAACGUGGAGGCCGGGAGAGUCAAGGGAGUGGCACACUGCAACAGGAGCAACUAGACCCUGCUAUUCAUAAUUAAAAUAUGCACGAUGGGAUGGAGGAAGACGAGGGGCAGAUGACUACCAGCUUCACAAGACCCAGAUGGAGAGGCGGACCCCCAGCUUCUCAUGAGGGGCAGACGAGGAAGACUACAACAUCCAGCUUCACCUAUAACAAACUACCACAAGAAAGCAUCAGUGUGUUUGAGCCCUUCCUUUGUGCUGCUGGUCUCCUGCUGCCAAAGUGGAGGCUGGGAGAGUGCAGCAGGGAGGGGCACGCUGAAACAGGACACACACAGCGACCCGUCCUGGUGACAAGCUUAUGAUGGCGAGUUAUCUAAUAGGGCAAGUGUAAGAGCAGAGACUCUCCCCAACUUAGAAAUUAUUUUGGAUUUUUUUUUUUUUUUUUUAAAUUCUGCUGUAUGCGUGAAAAAAAUAGUGAACCUGUAAAGCUAUGUUACAAAAUAAAUCUAAACCUCUA
Eriocheir sinensis (Chinese mitten crab) is the source of this 1437-nucleotide long non-coding RNA. RefSeq lists it as uncharacterized. The record is from RefSeq and is a predicted model, not a curated record. Lineage: Eukaryota; Metazoa; Arthropoda; Malacostraca; Decapoda; Varunidae. The transcript is spliced from 2 exons.